This 497-nucleotide ribosomal RNA is filed under the name uncultured bacterium. RNAcentral's name for it is "partial 16S ribosomal RNA". It matches the Rfam family "Bacterial small subunit ribosomal RNA", at positions 28 to 507 of the family's 1533-position model. The record is from RNAcentral.
GAUGAACGCUGGCGGCGUGCCUAAUACAUGCAAGUCGAGCGAACGGACGAGAAGCUUGCUUCUCUGAUGUUAGCGGCGGACGGGUGAGUAACACGUGGAUAACCUACCUAUAAGACUGGGAUAACUUCGGGAAACCGGAGCUAAUACCGGAUAAUAUUUUGAACCGCAUGGUUCAAAAGUGAAAGACGGUCUUGCUGUCACUUAUAGAUGGAUCCGCGCUGCAUUAGCUAGUUGGUAAGGUAACGGCUUACCAAGGCAACGAGGCAUAGCCGACCUGAGAGGGUGAUCGGCCACACUGGAACUGAGACACGGUCCAGACUCCUACGGGAGGCAGCAGUAGGGAAUCUUCCGCAAUGGGCGAAAGCCUGACGGAGCAACGCCGCGUGAGUGAUGAAGGUCUUCGGAUCGUAAAGCUCUGUUAUUGGGGAAGAACAUAUGUGUAAGUAACUGUGCACAUCUUGACGGUACCUAAUCAGAAAGCAACGGCUAACUACGUG